CGCGUAGGCGGCUCAUACAGUCAGGCGUGAAAUUCCUGGGCUCAACCUGGGGACUGCGCUUGAGACGUGUGGGCUUGAGUGGGGAAGAGGGUCGUGGAAUUCCCAGUGUAGAGGUGAAAUUCGUAGAUAUUGGGAAGAACACCGGUGGCGAAGGCGGCGACCUGGUUCUUGACUGACGCUGAGGCGCGAAAGCGUGGGGAGCAAACA
This 207-nucleotide ribosomal RNA is filed under the name uncultured bacterium. RNAcentral's name for it is "partial 16S ribosomal RNA". It matches the Rfam family "Bacterial small subunit ribosomal RNA", at positions 568 to 774 of the family's 1533-position model. The record is from RNAcentral.